GCCACAUCAACAAAAAUGAUAAAUUAAGUAUGCUUAGUAGUGCCUAUGCUUUUGGGCCUUCAUCCUUCUCCACUUGAGCCUUAUUAAGUAUGCCUGCUACCAUAUGUUGGAGGGUAUCCACUGACUGUUUGGUCCUACUCCUGGUCAUAGGUCCCUAUAUUUGGGAAGUUUUAGGAUUCUCAUCAUUCCUUCCUUCUCGGAAAGCAUUUUCCCUCAAAUG
RNAcentral lists this long non-coding RNA (220 nucleotides) under Glycine max (soybean). RNAcentral's name for it is "long non-coding RNA (GMAX_LNC001835)". Lineage: Eukaryota; Viridiplantae; Streptophyta; Magnoliopsida; Fabales; Fabaceae. The record is from RNAcentral.